Molecule: non-coding RNA, 1240 nt
Organism: Pimephales promelas (fathead minnow)
Lineage: Eukaryota; Metazoa; Chordata; Actinopteri; Cypriniformes; Leuciscidae
Source: RefSeq, a predicted model, not a curated record
UUCGGCUAAAAAAAUAUUCCCGGAAACUGAGUGCCAAUAGAUGGACUUCAGGACUGCAUGCAUCAGCCAAGCAAGAUGAAUGGGAAUGCUUACUGAUAGCUCUCGCCAUCGCCGAGCGGAGGAGCAGCCAACACGAAGCAGGUCCAACAACAUGCCUCUCAGCACGAGCGGGAAGUCUAAUUUUCACAUCUGCUCAAGUGAGAGGCUUAAAUCAACAAUCACUUAAGAUAACAAGACUAUAUAAAUUACAAUGGCAAUGAAUUUUACUAGCAAAGCUCUUAAACACCCAAUAUUGUGGGCGUCUGAAGGCCCUGCUGAGUUGAGCAACUGCAGUGAGAGUGAGUAACCGGUGACUCAAAGAAGUGGCAGAAGUUCAGAUCGACUGUCCCGCAGGAAGCGGCGCUGAAGGUGUAAAUGAUGCUGCCAUAUUUCAUGUUCCUGGCAACGAGCGGCUGCAUGCGUUAUCGGCACUGAAUGCCAGGAAAUUUGCUAAAUGGUGCUUGACAGCCAGUGUUCACCAUUCAUUUUUAUUGUAUGGAAAAGCAUCUCCCGGUGUAUUUGAUGGCGAACAGACAGUCGAUGGCUUUGGACUGACAUGAAGGUGCUGUUUCUUUGCUUCUGUCGCCACCAGAGACGUCGCCACCCAGGACGCUGAAACAUCCCCAGGCCACGACUUCGAGAGCCUGUUUGUGGUGCCUUCGCCAGCUUCCCUUCUGCUCUUUUCACAUCCAUUCAGCAGUUUUAUCACACCUCCGCAGGAUCUCCAUUGAGUUGAUGUGUGUUUUGGGCCUGCAGGCAGUUGAUGAAACAUGACUGAUUUGUCUAAGGUGCAUGAGUGAUGUCAGGGAGAGAGGAGGGACAUAUUUCCACCCGGCAGGUCAAGGGUCAGUGUGAGGUUACUCUUAAACAGUGUGGUAGAGCUAAGCAGGGCCUGGGGCUUCUGCCUUUCAUAGAGUCGGAGACACAGCCUGUUUAGACAACAGUGUUGAGGAGCUGCUUCAGUUUUAACUGUCUGACUUCGUUUACACGCUAAAGAAUGAGUCAAGGUGCUUAAGGUUCCUUUCUGUAAAUUUUUUUGCUUUAGAGGAAUAGUUCACCCACUCAAAAAUGACAUUUCUCUCAUGUUGUUCCAAACACUUUCUUCUGUGUAAAUGUACCAAUAAAAGUGGAUCUAGUGAGCUGCCAACAGAAUCAUUUUAGACUUUUAUUCACAUAAACAUUCAUCAAUGCACACAUCAGU